GUCAAGUCUUCAUCACUUUUAUCAGACUUUUCUUCAGCCUCAGAGACUUCACUUUGCUUCUUCUUCUUCUUCUUCUUCCUUCUCUUCUUUGCGUCUUUGGUAGAGUUCAAGCCGUUUUCUUCAGUCUCUGAAUCCUCACUUUGUUUCUUUUUCUUCCUU
This 159-nucleotide small RNA is filed under the name Arabidopsis thaliana (thale cress). RNAcentral's name for it is "ATSL286120". Lineage: Eukaryota; Viridiplantae; Streptophyta; Magnoliopsida; Brassicales; Brassicaceae. The record is from RNAcentral.